AUUCUGCAAUGAUGAAGGGGGAUGAUUGAAAAGAGCUGGACUAAAUUGGUCUAACUAGGACACUUGAAGGCUUGUGAAUCAGUUCACACGAUCAGUGUGAAAAGCGGGUAUGAAGACCCAGAUGCUGGUGUGUACGUGUGCAUAUAAGCCCCAACAGCUAGAAAUCAAGCCUUUCUGGCUUCCGAUUGUUGGAGAAGUGGAAACAGUUAAUGGAGUAUGCAAUGAGUUCUGGCGGUCAGAAGUCCAAAAUGGGUCUUACACGACUAAAAUCCAGAUGUCGACAGGGAGGAAGAACUGAGGAUCCUACAUCAUGUUAGGGAGCAGCAAGAGCACUGUAGUAAGACAUAACCCUCCUUUGCCUCUCUAUGUCCUCUGCCCCAUGCUGCUUAUGUCCUUAUUGAAGUUAAGAGUCCGGCUGUCAUUGAGAACCUCUGAUACUGCACCAUUUGAUGAAGGGCUAUGAAAAAUUCCCCCGAGAACAGCAAUGCACACUGAUCCUACCAGCUCAUUCACUAGAAUACACUUUCUAAAGCCAAUACUAAUGGCUGUAGGCAAAUAGAGCAGGACGGUCAAGAUACCUCUACCCACUUCAUUCUACGCAUAGACUGUCUGGUUCUCUGAGGUCACAGCAGUAUAAUCUUAAGGUGACCAUUAAGAUCUGAUUGACACAUUUUCAGGAUUUAAAGUAAAAUUAAAAGAACGUGGAAGGCAGCUGUUUGUGGCACUGUAACAGAUAGCCAUGUUUACGAAAACAAAUUCAAGUUGAGCAAUGAUCUGGCAGAUUUUGUUUGCCAGGGAGGACCAUUGAGCCAAUGGGACCCACAAUUUUCCCACUUCAAGAGAUUUUUUUUUUCUCAAUGACAUUAUAUAACUGAUUCAGAUAU
Molecule: long non-coding RNA, 884 nt
Filed under: Homo sapiens (human)
Lineage: Eukaryota; Metazoa; Chordata; Mammalia; Primates; Hominidae
Description: non-protein coding LINC01625:10
Source: RNAcentral